Molecule: ribosomal RNA, 458 nt
Filed under: uncultured bacterium
Lineage: Bacteria
Description: partial 16S ribosomal RNA
Rfam family: Bacterial small subunit ribosomal RNA
Source: RNAcentral
CCUACGGGUGGCAGCAGUGGGGAAUAUUGCACAAUGGGGGAAACCCUGAUGCAGCGACGCCGCGUGAGUGAAGAAGUAAUUCGUUACGUAAAGCUCUAUCAGCAGGGAAGAAAUACUGACCUUACGGUCAGCAGACGGUAUCUGAGUAAGAAGCCCCGGCUAACUACGUGCCAGCAGCCGCGGUAAUACGUAGGGGGCAAGCGUUAUCCGGAUUUACUGGGUGUAAAGGGAGCGUAGACGGUGCGCCAAGUCUGGAGGGAAAUGCCGCAGCUUAACUGCGGAACUGCGUUGGAAACUGGCGAACUAGAGUGCGGGAGGGGUAAGCGGAAUGCCUGGUGUAGCGGUGAAAUGCGUAGAUAUUAGGAGGAACACCGGUGGCGAAGGCGGCUUACUGGACCGUAACUGACGUUGAGGCUCGAAAGCGUGGGGAGCAAACAGGAUUAGAUACCCGGGUAGUC